AUACUGUAUUUUUCCUCUUUAGCGGUGGCUGAGCGUAGAGGCUUCUUCCUCGCUCCCUCCUCCUCCUGCUCUGAAACACAAACGGAAACUGUAACUCAUCUACUUCCUACUAAGAGAGUCACAGAAAAUACAGAGAGCGAGAGAAACAGCGACAAGGCCCCAAAGCAAGCAACUGCCAUCAAUGCAAGCGGCUGCUCCUUCCCUGCAAGGGCAAUGUCUGCUGUGUGGCUACACGUUGGACAAUGUGGCAAUCAGAUUGGCGAGGCGUGGUGGCAGAUCCUAACCAGGGAGAAUGUGCCGCAUGCAGAGGCUGAUUGAUAUCCGUUCUGCUCCCCCGAUGGAAAGCUAAGUGCUAUCUGCGUGGACAGCGAACCCAAAGUGGUGAGGAAGCUGCAGAAACAAGUCAAGAGCGGGUAGGAGAACAGGGGCUUGUCUCAU
RNAcentral lists this long non-coding RNA (438 nucleotides) under Chrysemys picta bellii (western painted turtle). RNAcentral's name for it is "lncRNA (ENSCPBG00000015388.1)". The record is from RNAcentral. Lineage: Eukaryota; Metazoa; Chordata; Testudines; Emydidae.